Molecule: ribosomal RNA, 402 nt
Filed under: uncultured bacterium
Lineage: Bacteria
Description: bacterial SSU rRNA
Rfam family: Bacterial small subunit ribosomal RNA
Source: RNAcentral
GGGAAUAUUGGGCAAUGGGCGCAAGCCUGACCCAGCGACGCCGCGUGAGGGAAGACGGUCUUCGGAUUGUAAACUGCUUUAGACAGGGAAGAAACAAGACAGUACCUGUAGAAUAAGCUCCGGCUAACUACGUGCCAGCAGCCGCGGUAAUACGUAGGGAGCAAGCGUUAUCCGGAUUUAUUGGGUGUAAAGGGUGCGUAGACGGGAAUUUAAGUUAGUUGUGAAAUCCCUCGGCUUAACUGAGGAACUGCAACUAAAACUGAAUUUCUUGAGUGCGGGAGAGGAAAGUGGAAUUCCUAGUGUAGCGGUGAAAUGCGUAGAUAUUAGGAGGAACACCAGUGGCGAAGGCGACUUUCUGGACCGUAACUGACGUUGAGGCACGAAAGUGUGGGGAGCAAACAG